UAAAUAAUCUGAAUACAUCAAGCAG
RNAcentral lists this non-coding RNA (25 nucleotides) under Cricetulus griseus (Chinese hamster). The record is from RNAcentral. Lineage: Eukaryota; Metazoa; Chordata; Mammalia; Rodentia; Cricetidae.